UGGAAAGAGGAGUGGCGGACGGGUGAGUAACACGUGGGUAACCUACCCAUCAGAGGGGGAUAACACUUGGAAACAGGUGCUAAUACCGCAUAACAGUUUAUGCCGCAUGGCAUAAGAGUGAAAGGCGCUUUCGGGUGUCGCUGAUGGAUGGACCCGCGGUGCAUUAGCUAGUUGGUGAGGUAACGGCUCACCAAGGCCACGAUGCAUAGCCGACCUGAGAGGGUGAUCGGCCACACUGGGACUGAGACACGGCCCAGACUCCUACGGGAGGCAGCAGUAGGGAAUCUUCGGCAAUGGACGAAAGUCUGACCGAGCAACGCCGCGUGAGUGAAGAAGGUUUUCGGAUCGUAAAACUCUGUUGUUAGAGAAGAACAAGGACGUUAGUAACUGAACGUCCCCUGACGGUAUCUAACCAGAAAGCCACGGCUAACUACGUGCCAGCAGCCGCGGUAAUACGUAGGUGGCAAGCGUUGUCCGGAUUUAUUG
Molecule: ribosomal RNA, 486 nt
Filed under: Enterococcus faecalis
Lineage: Bacteria; Bacillati; Bacillota; Bacilli; Lactobacillales; Enterococcaceae
Description: bacterial SSU rRNA
Rfam family: Bacterial small subunit ribosomal RNA
Source: RNAcentral